This 305-nucleotide ribosomal RNA is filed under the name uncultured bacterium. Its description in RNAcentral is "bacterial SSU rRNA". It matches the Rfam family "Bacterial small subunit ribosomal RNA", at positions 338 to 640 of the family's 1533-position model. The record is from RNAcentral.
CCUACGGGGCGCAGCAGUGAGGAAUAUUGGUCAAUGGGCGGAAGCCUGAACCAGCCAAGUCGCGUGAGGGAAUAAGGCCCUACGGGUCGUAAACCUCUUUUGCCGGGGAGCAAGGGCCGGGACGCGUCCCGGCCCGGAGAGUACCCGGAGAAAAAGCAUCGGCUAACUCCGUGCCAGCAGCCGCGGUAAUACAGAGGAUGCGAGCGUUAUCCGGAUUUAUUGGGUUUAAAGGGUGCGUAGGCGGGCUUUUAAGUCAGCGAUAAAAAUUCGGGGCUCAACCCCGUCCGGUCGUUGAAACUGGGGGC